This 1506-nucleotide ribosomal RNA is filed under the name metagenome. RNAcentral describes it as "bacterial LSU rRNA". It matches the Rfam family "Bacterial large subunit ribosomal RNA", at positions 1277 to 2911 of the family's 2925-position model. The record is from RNAcentral.
UUAGAUCAGAAGCGAGAAUGUUGACAUGAGUAGCGAUAAAGAGGGUGAGAGACCCUCUCGCCGUAAGUCCAAGGGUUCCUGCUUAAAGCUAAUCUGAGCAGGGUAAGCCGGCCCCUAAGGCGAGGCCGAAAGGCGUAGUCGAUGGGAACCACGUUAAUAUUCGUGGGCCAGGAGGAAGUGACGGAUCUCGAAGGUAGUUUGCCCUUAUCGGAUUGGGUGGGCUGCUCAGAGGUUCCAGGAAAUAGCCCUCCAUCAGACCGUACCCUAAACCGACACAGGUGGACUGGUAGAGUAUACCAAGGCGCUUGAGAGAACCACGUUAAAGGAACUCGGCAAAAUGCCUCCGUAAGUUCGCGAGAAGGAGGCCCCAUAUCUGGGCAACCAGGUGUGGGGGGCACAAACUAGGGGGUGGCGACUGUUUACUUAAAACACAGGGCUGUGCGAAGCCGUAAGGCGACGUAUACAGUCUGACGCCUGCCCGGUGCUGGAAGGUUAAAAGGAGGGGUGCAAGCUCUGAAUUGAAGCCCCAGUAAACGGCGGCCGUAACAAUAACGGUCCUAAGGUAGCGAAAUUCCUUGUCGGGUAAGUUCCGACCUGCACGAAUGGCGUAACGAUCUCCCCGCUGUCUCUAACGUGGACUCAGCGAAAUUGAACUGUGUGUCAAGAUGCACGCUACCCGCGGUUAGACGGAAAGACCCCAUGCACCUUUACUCCAGCUUUGCACUGGUAUCAGGAUUGUGAUGUGCAGGAUAGGUGGUAGGCAUCGAAGCGGGGACGCCAGUUCUCGUGGAGCCUCCCUUGAGAUACCACCCUUCGCCAUCUUGAUAUCUAACCGCGGCCCGUUAUCCGGGUCCGGGACCCUGCAUGGUGGGGAGUUUGACUGGGGCGGUCGCCUCCCAAACAGUAACGGAGGCGCGCGAAGGUAGGCUCAGACCGGUCGGAAAUCGGUCGUUGAGUGCAAUGGCAGAAGCCUGCCUGACUGCAAGUCUGACAAGACGAGCAGAGACGAAAGUCGGUCAUAGUGAUCCGGUGGUCCCAAGUGGGAGGGCCAUCGCUCAACGGAUAAAAGGUACGCUGGGGAUAACAGGCUGAUGAUGCCCAAGAGUCCAUAUCGACGGCAUCGUUUGGCACCUCGAUGUCGGCUCAUCUCAUCCUGGGGCUGGAGCAGGUCCCAAGGGUAUGGCUGUUCGCCAUUUAAAGAGGUACGUGAGCUGGGUUUAGAACGUCGUGAGACAGUUCGGUCCCUAUCUGCCGUGGGUGUAGGAGACUUGAGAAGAGUUGCCCCUAGUACGAGAGGACCGGGGUGAACAAACCACUGGUGGACCAGUUGUCGUGCCAACGGCAGUGCUGGGUAGCUAUGUUCGGACAGGAUAACCGCUGAAGGCAUCUAAGCGGGAAGCCCCCUUCAAAACAAGGUCUCCCUUGAGAGCCGUGGAAGACCACCACGUCGAUAGGCCGGAGGUGUAAGUGCAGCAAUGCAUUCAGCUGACCGGUACUAAUUGCUCU